This 139-nucleotide small nucleolar RNA is filed under the name Octodon degus (degu). Lineage: Eukaryota; Metazoa; Chordata; Mammalia; Rodentia; Octodontidae. The record is from RNAcentral.
GACCUCCUGGGAUCGCAUCUGGAGAGUGGCCAGUGUUCUGCCAGCUUCGGAAACAGGAGGGAGAGCAACCCGGCAGGGCACCCAUUCCAUUCCCAGCUUGCCCCUGUAGCUGGUGACUGGAAGACACUCUGCAACAUCC